GUCUACUGCCAUACCACGUUGAAAGCACCAGUUCUCGUCCGAUCACUGAAGUUAAGCA
Molecule: ribosomal RNA, 58 nt
Filed under: Lottia gigantea (owl limpet)
Lineage: Eukaryota; Metazoa; Mollusca; Gastropoda; Lottiidae
Source: RNAcentral